Non-coding RNA from Podarcis lilfordi (Lilford's wall lizard), 72 nucleotides. The record is from the annotation of a GenBank genome assembly. Lineage: Eukaryota; Metazoa; Chordata; Lepidosauria; Squamata; Lacertidae.
GGAGGAAUAGCCGAGUGGUACAGCACCUGCUUAGAGUGCAGAAGGUCCCAGAUUCAAUCCCCAGCAUCUUCA